Molecule: ribosomal RNA, 419 nt
Filed under: uncultured bacterium
Lineage: Bacteria
Description: bacterial SSU rRNA
Rfam family: Bacterial small subunit ribosomal RNA
Source: RNAcentral
UGAGGAAUAUUGCACAAUGGGCGCAAGUCUGAUGCAGCGACGCCGCGUGUGGGAUGAAGGGGCUACGCCUCGUAAACCACUGUAGCCCGGGACGAAAAACGCCUUAGAGGCGUUAGACGGUACCGGGAAAGUAAGGGUCGGCUAACUACGUGCCAGCAGCCGCGGUAAUACGUAGGACCCAAGCGUUGUCCGGAUUUACUGGGUGUAAAGGGUGCGCAGGCGGAUGGGUAAGUCAGGGGUGAAAGUGUGCAGCUUAACUGGAGAAUUGGCUUUGAUACUGGUCAUCGUGAGUGUGGGAGAGGUUGAUGGAAUUCCAGGGGUAGCAGUGAAAUGCGUAGAUAUCUGGAAGAACACCAGUAGCGAAGGCGGUCAACUGGCACAUAACUGACGCUCAUGCACGAAAGCGUGGGGAGCAAACA